ACCUGGAUGGCUUAGUCAGUUAAGCGUCUGACUUUGGCUCAGGUCAUGAUCUCCCAGUUUGUGGGUUUGAGUCCCGUGUCAGGCU
RNAcentral lists this transfer RNA (85 nucleotides) under Felis catus (domestic cat). It matches the Rfam family "tRNA". From Rfam's summary of the family: Transfer RNA (tRNA) molecules are approximately 80 nucleotides in length. Their secondary structure includes four short double-helical elements and three loops (D, anti-codon, and T loops). Lineage: Eukaryota; Metazoa; Chordata; Mammalia; Carnivora; Felidae. The record is from Rfam by way of RNAcentral.